CCCUGCGCCCGGCCGCGGCGGCGGCGGCUCCGCUCGCCCCGGGAGGGAGCCCGCGGCCAGGGCUGGACUCUCGCCCCGCCACCUCCACCGACUCUCUCCUCAGCCUCCGCGCCUGGCACCGCAGCAAGACUUGAAUGAAGUGAUCAUGUAAACUAGAGAAAGGAGAUUAAAAAUAACCUCUGGAUAUUCCUCUCAUGUGAUCUUUAUUCUGGAUGAAGCAUUAGGACAGCUAAUAGCCGUGUGUCACUUAAAAAUCCAACUUGAGAACUGUCACCAAAGAUGUCUAGGAACUUUGAAGAAACAUGAAGCAAUCUUCGGCAGGGUUAUGUCUUGAUUACUACAAGGUCCUAUUCUCAAGAGUGGUGUUCACAGUCUAGAUCUAAGGUGUGAUUUCUUCCCUAAGACUAAGGACCCAUCAUUUUAGUGCAACCUUCUUCAUUUAAAUGGAGAGUUGUAAUUGCCAAUGCUCACAGCUACUCCUGCUCUGGCAAUUUGCUGCCAGAAGUGUGUUUUCCUUUUUAAAAGGUAAGUGCCUUUUUAAGAAAUAUUAUAUAAAAUUAUCAUCAUUUCUGAUUUAUAGCUUUGAAGAGCCUAUUAAUUUUAAAGCCCCAUGGCUGACAGCUGUGUUGUUCAAAGGCGAGGAUAUAUAGUAUUAAUUAUCUUAAGCUCCAGAUUAUCGUUCAUGGUGCUGACAUUAAGUAUAAAGGACAAACUGGCGCAGUUUUCUAUUUUAGUAAGAAUAAUUAAUUAACCUGGUGAUUUUUAGAAGAAAUACCUGUUGAAGUAAGAUACAACUAACACAGUUCAGUUUGAUCACAUUUGUUUCAGUUCUGGAUGGAUGUAGAUAAUUUUCAUGGAAAUUGCCAGUAACUUAGAGUAUGGCCACAGUUUGCUUUUGUUGUUGUUGUUGCUGUUGUUGUUGUUUUACUGGUUUUUCUUUCUUAUUUGUUUGGUUAAUUGGAGUCAGAGAAUGGGCUUGUACAUUUUGAAAGUUAAAAAUGUUUGUGUCUGAAAGAUAUUACUUACCAAUAAAGACUGUACAGUUUUGACUAGACUACAUUUAUAUUUUCAAAUUUUGCAAUGUAUUAGUUUCAACCAUAAGUUAAAUUUUAGAGCUGACUCAAUCUAGUAUUUAAAUUUUCAAGAAUUCUGUGAUGUUUGAAAGCAAACUAAAUGCUUAAGUAGAGAAUACUUUGUGCUUUAUUAUGUACCCAAAAAUGACUCCUUCGUUGUGUUAUUUCUCGGCUUGCCUUUCCCUAAGCAUUGAUUCAGACAGUGAAAACAUAGAGGGGUGAUUAAUUACUGUAUUCCUGGUAUAGUCUUUGUUUCUCUAACAAGUCAUGGUGAAUGUCUUCAGAAGACACCCUUCUACAGCAUCCAUGGCAAACAUCAAUCUCUAUUACUGCUCUAGCUUGGAAGUUUCACUUGUUUAUACCUCUUGGUUGAGUAUCAUCACUUUUUUACUUCUAUACGUUUUGGAUGCUGUAACGAGAGAAACUUCUUGCCUUUAGGGCAUUUGAAUUCAGCUUCUGCUUAUAAUAACGGAGGAGCUCUGUGUGUAAUUAUGUUGCCAAGAUAAGUAAAUUAAUAAAUUAUAACUCUUUCCUCCACCUGAUAAUUGUUUAUUUACGGGGUUGUAUUUCUGCUAUCAGGUAAAGUUGGUGUAUUAGCUUGAUGUAUUAGCAUCAUGCUAACUAUCACAGCUAGUUAUGCAGUUAGCAAAGCAAUAUAUUUUACAGGCACUUUGCAUUUUGAAAAUAGCACGUCUGUUACUUGUAAAUUCCUGCUCUCUUACGGUAGGAGCCCGUAAUUCUGUUAAGUAAGUUACCAAGAAUUAUGUUUAAAAGUACAAUUCACAAAUUCUGCCAUGUCAUGGAAGUUGGUAACUAUGACAGAAUUACAACGAAGUUCUUUUUUUAUAAGUUAAUCUUAAGCUAUGUAAAUAUAUGAUGUACAGGUUAUGAGAGCCAUGGUUUAGACUACAUUGCAGAAAAACAAUCAAGAAAAGUAAAAAAUUUAACCAUUUCGAAAGUUUUUUUCCCCUUCCAUACAAACUGGGUAGUAAAAAGAACGUAGACUUUAGGAUCAGUUAGAACUCACUUGUAGACCUACCUCCAGCUCUUACUUGCUGUGUGAUUUCAGGCAAGUUACUUCACCCCUCUGAGACAUUUAAAUUAGUUUUCAGACUGAAUAUAAUAAUACCUAUUUUGCACAACUGCCAUAAACAUGCUGCAAGUGAUUUGUUGGUUCCCUGCUUUCCCCUAAGAGUCAAUCUCAUCUUGUGUACACAGCCUUAGACAAAUUCCUUAAUGCUGUAUCUGAUAAAACUAUAAUUUUAUGGUAAGCUUGUCUCUUUUUUUUUCUUCUAUGUAUAUAAACUUUGCCUUGAAUAUACUAACCUGGUAGACUAUUCACAUCUACAAAACAGAACAUAAUAUCUUGCUAAACUCUGUAUAAAGAUGCUGCCUUCUGUUGGUGUGAAAGUAUACACCCAUGAGAUUGAUUUACAGGCAUUUUGUGAAUGCAAACAACUCUCAUUUUAGUAAACUCUUUAUGAAUCUUAAAUACUUCUUUCCUUUUUUGUCUUCUCUUCAGUGCCCUUACUUAGGCUAUUUCUUGUCCAGAGACCUAGUCCUCUUUACUACAUACUAAAGCUUAGAACUGGGGCCCUGUUCUAGCUUCUUUUAUUCCUCUAUUUAGGAAAGCAUCUCCUUACAAUCCUUUCUCUCCAAACUCUGCUGGGUAAUUGAAUAGCUACAUGACUGAAAAUGUUUCAAUAGCCUUUCAAGGUAGUAUUUACAUUUUAAUGAGCUUUUGUAAUGGUUUAACCUAAAUACAAGGGAAUAUGAUGAGCUCUUUGGUAUGGGGAAUAAUUUGAGGCCCAAAGUUAUUCCCAGGCAGCCCUGUAAACUUAUAAAAGUAGGGUUGCUUCCUCUCCAUGCUUGUUAUAAAGCUUCUACGUGCAUCCAAGGCUUCACGUAAAUAUUCUCUUUCUCUUUUUCCCCUUUCUCCCACUGCAGAUAAAAAAUUUCAAAUGGACAUAAAUUGAUAUCUAGUUCUCCUCUGAAAAUUGUGAACACAUUAUUUUAAAUCUUCUCUGUACUAUUCUCCAACCCCUUUGAUUUUUUAGUUGCCUUCAAAAUUUUAAGAAUAAUUUAUAUGUUUUGCUUAUCACAAAUUCUCAUACACCUGAGCCAAACAGUUUUGUUAAGUUUGGGGGAAAUCACGACUUUUGUGUUUCUGAUCAGGAAACAGAGAAGGACGUGACUUGGCUAAACUCUGCAGAACAUCGGUUAAUACUGGGGUUUCUGACACCCAAAGCAGUUCAAAUUGUCGACGUCAUUCUAUCACGUAAAAGCAAUUCAUGUGCUAUUUUCCUUCUAUGGAUUUACUCAUGCAUAUGCAAAUAUGAGACAAGAAAACCAGACAAAAUGUACUGCAUGUGGUAAUGUGACUCAGCUCCUCAAUAGCCCAGCCCUCCCCAGGCUCCUUGCCAAAAUAAACUGAGUGUUGACAGGGAGCUUGAUGUGUUUUAAUAGCAAAAAGCCAAAAAUGAAGAUAGUUUACAAGUGAUAAAUGAGAGAUUCAUUUUUAAAUGGAAUUCUCUGCUUGAAUAAUGCAAUGUAUAUGUGACAUUAGUAAAGUUCUGGGAAAAAUGAUAGAAGACCUAUAUGUCACAAUUUGCCAGGCAUAGUUACCUAAUCCUGGUGACUAAGAAAAAAGGACAAUAGAUUCCCCUGAGAACUUUUUAAUUGACCCUUAAAUGUCAUUCCAAGUGCUUUAAUAAUAAAGAAUUGAAAGUCUUUGACAUUUGUUGAUUUUUUAUCUUGUAGUUUUCUCUUGAUUUACUUUCUAUUUUUACUGAAAAGUUACUGCUGGAUUCUAGUGCUUUCAGAAAAUACCUUUUUUAUCUCAUCAUAUCAUCUAUGUGAGCCUAAAUUUCUUAUGGUUUGCCUCACUCUUCUCAAGCCAAAACCUACUAAUUAUACCUACUAAUCACAAAACAAUUUCUUCCCCAAUCAGACAAAUGGAUGUUUUUGUUUAUUCUUUGCUUCUUGAUUGUUUUGAACAGUAAUCCUAUAUUAAUUUUGAUAAAUCCACACACUGAUGUUAAAAUGAUCAUAAAAGUAGCAUGUGAUGAGUUUAUCUGGGCUUAUAGGUUAGAAGUUGGAUAGGGGUGUCCAUUGUGAGCAUUGCAACUAUAUGAGAAGCAUUCAAAUCUAAAGUUAACACUUCUGAAUAAAUUUUAUUUUUUAGCGUGCAGUUUUUCCUAGAAGACUGAAAAAUCCAGAGACUUUUUUUUCUUUACAUCUAGAAUGUCCUGCUUGCACAUAUUUUUUAAAACCUACAUCAUGUAUUGUUGACUUCCUUGCCAAAGGCACACAUGCAUUUCUAUUUCAUUUUUUGAUAAUUCUGAUAUUGUACCUAGUUCUCUUGAGCCAUGGUACCUCUAUUUCAUUUCUGAAUCAAACUCUAUGCUUCUUUAUAACUUCCAACUUUUGACAUGUUUUCACUGGCAAUUUGGUCAUUAGCAUAUUUUUGAGAUCGAACUUUAUAUCACUAUUUCAGGUGAAUAUGUAAAGCAUAGAAAACCAGAUAAAAUGUUGGGUUUCUUUAAAUGAAUUUCGUCUCUAUAGAAUAAAAUUUAGCAUUCGGUCCUUUUUUCCACAUAUCAUCACACAUUUACUUUUAUACAUUUACCUUAGAUUAAAUGUGUUUGCCUCACACCACUUGAGAGAGUGAUUAAAGUGCAUGCUUGGGCCACCUUUUUCUCCUCAGAAUUCCCAAGAACUAGUUUUCUUAAUUUAAAUAAUUACCAUAAGUACAAAACCUUCAUAUUGAAAAUCGGUAUAGAUAUUACAACUUGAAUUAUACAAUAAAAUAAAUAUGAGCAAGCUUCUCUUUCCACAAUGAACGUUCGUUAUAGAAAGAGCAUCAAAUGCAGCUCCUGGGUUAUGGUGAAUUUAUAGAAGACAAAAUUUCACCAUCACCCAAUUAUUCUGAGAUAACUACUACUGGAAUUCCAGUGUUCAACUGGACUUUUAAUGCAUUUAUUUAUACGUAAUCAAUGUUAUGGCAGCUGCGCAGAUAUAGACUAAUCUCUUCUUGCCGGCCGUUUCACCUUACUCAGUUUCCAUUACCUGUGGUCAACCAUGGUCCAGAAAAUAUUAAAAGAAACAUUCCAGAAAUAAACAAAUUUAUCCAUUUUAAAAUGUGUGCCAUUCUGAGUAGCAUGGUGAAAUAUCAUGCCAUCCUGCUCUGUCCUGCCUCACAUUUGGGCCAUCCAAUUGUCUAGCAUAGCCACACUGUAGACACUACCCACCCAUUAGUCACUGAUGUGGCUGCUUCUGACAUCCAGCCAUCAGCAUCAUCACUGUGAGUCUUGGUCUGGGAACCUACACUCAUCCUCCUGUAUACUUUAAGCUAUCUCUAGAUUAUAUGUAAUACCUAAUACAAUGCAUAUGCUAUGUAACUAAGUGCUCUAAUGUAUUUUUAUUUGUAUUAUUUAUAAUUGUAAAUUUUUAAAUUAAAAAACAUUUUGGAUUAUUUUCAAUCUGGGGUCAGCUGAAUCCAAGGAUGCAGAACCUGUGGAUAUUGAGGGUCCACUGUAUAUACUUAUAAUUCUUCUAAUUUACUAUUAGCUGUCGUUAAUCUUUUACUGUGCCUAAUUAUAGUAAAACUUUAUCAUACGUAUAUAGGUAUAGAAAAAAUACUAUAUAUCGGAUUCCAUACUAUUUUUAUUUAUUUAUUUAUUUUUAUUUCAUUUA
This 5768-nucleotide long non-coding RNA is filed under the name Homo sapiens (human). Its description in RNAcentral is "HSALNT0323844". Lineage: Eukaryota; Metazoa; Chordata; Mammalia; Primates; Hominidae. The record is from RNAcentral.